CCCCUUAAGUUGGAUGUGAAAUCCUAUGGCUCAACCAUAGAACUGCAUCCAAAACUGAGGGGCUAGAGUCUGGGAGGGGAAGAUGGAAUUAGUGGUGUAGGGUAAAAUCCGUAGAGAUCACUAGGAAUACCAAAAGCGAAGGCGAUCUUCUGGAACAGUACUGACGCUGAGGCGCGAAAGCGUGGGGAGCAAACAGGAUUAGAUACCCUGGUAGUCCACGCCCUAAACUAUGAAUGUUAGUCGUCGGGAGGCUCGUCCUCUCGGUGAUGCAGCUAACGCAUUAAACAUUCCGCCUGGGGAGUACGGUCGCAAGAUUAAAACUCAAAGGAAUAGACGGGGACCCGCACAAGUGGUGGAGCAUGUGGUUUAAUUCGAAGAUACGCGAAGAACCUUACCUGGCCUUGACAUUGAUAGAAUCUGCUAGAGAUAGCGGAGUGCCCUUCGGGGAGCUUGAAAACAGGUGCUGCACGGCUGUCGUCAGCUCGUGUCGUGAGAUGUUGGGUUAAGUCCCGCAACGAGCGCAACCCUCGUCACUAGUUACUAACGGUUCGGCCGAGGACUCUAGUGAGACUGCCUUCGUAAGGAGGAGGAAGGUGAGGACGACGUCAAGUCAUCAUGGCCCUUACGGCCAGGGCGACACACGUGCUACAAUGGGAUGUACAAUGAGACGCAAUACCGCGAGGUGGAGCAAAUCUAUAAAGCAUCUCUCAGUUCGGAUUGUAGUCUG
RNAcentral lists this ribosomal RNA (727 nucleotides) under uncultured Campylobacterota bacterium. RNAcentral's name for it is "bacterial SSU rRNA". It matches the Rfam family "Bacterial small subunit ribosomal RNA", at positions 579 to 1307 of the family's 1533-position model. Lineage: Bacteria; Pseudomonadati; Campylobacterota. The record is from RNAcentral.